This is a long non-coding RNA of Hippocampus comes (tiger tail seahorse), 802 nucleotides long. RefSeq lists it as uncharacterized. The record is from RefSeq and is a predicted model, not a curated record. The transcript has 3 exons. NCBI's taxonomy places the organism in Eukaryota, Metazoa, Chordata, Actinopteri, Syngnathiformes, Syngnathidae.
GAGGACACUUCCGAAAAUGAGUCAUCGGGGGAAUUUUCGCCCGAUAACGCUGACUACAUGAACGAGGAGGACAGCUCCGAUUCGGAAGAGGAGGACAGCUCCGAUUCGGAAGAGGAGGGAUCCUCCGAUGAUCCUGAAGGAACGGUCGAGCAGGACCAGGAGGGAUCGGGCGGUACGGUAUGGAGCUCAAAAAACCAAAAAAUUGAUGUGGCAUCCGACACAUGAGGUGGCUGGACAUUACGUCCCGUCACGAAUCCCCACGCCAGGCCCCACGUUAUACGCGUUAGCCAGAAUCAGCAGCCCCAAGUCGGCCUUUGCAUUGUUCAUUGAUGACGAAAUAAUUGCAAAUAUCGUCGAAAUGACCAACCUACAAGGCCUCUGAACAACCAAGCAGUGGUCCCCCCUCACCCCCCAAGAGCUGCGUGCGUACAUCGGAGAAGGGUCCAGCUGCAGACCCGGAGGAGGCCGAUUCAGGGAAAGAUGCAUGUCACAAUACAACGAGGGACAUCUGUCCCUGAGCUGCAAAAAUGCAACACAUGUUGCAGUAUGUACCACUGUCCAUUCUGCCAGCCCGCAUGGUUUCAACCCACAUACUACUGCAAGGUAAAGGACCAUGUGGAGGGCCAUUUUGACCGAGCAGUAUCACAUGAAGGAAAAGCACCCUGCUUUGAUGGUCUCUGCUGCUGCUGCUGCUGCUGCUGCUGCUGCGGCGCCUGGAUCCCCACGACCCACCGCUGUCUCACCUUUUGCUGCCCCACCCACCGCUGCCCAUCCCUCUGCUUCCCCACCCUCUGCUGGACCU